CUUCUGUUGGUGUCAUUUUCAAUUCUAUUUCCAGUGCCACAAUAGAGUGAUAUUUAAGCAACUCCUACAGGCGAAGGCCCUGCAGUUCCUCCAGAUUGACAGUUGCAGACUGGGCAGUGUCAAUGAGAACCUCUCAGUAUUGCUGAUGGCCAAAAAGUUUGAAAUUCCUGUUUGCCCCCAUGCUGGUGGAGUUGGCCUCUGUGAACUGGUGCAGCACCUGAUUAUAUUUGACUACAUAUCAGUCUCUGCAAGCCUUGAAAACAGGAUGUGUGAGUAUGUUGACCACCUGCACGAGCAUUUCAAGUAUCCCGUGAUGAUCCAGCGGGCUUCCUACAUGCCUCCCAAGGAUCCCGGCUACUCAACAGAAAUGAAGGAGGAAUCUGUAAAGAAACACCAGUAUCCAGAUGGUGAAGUUUGGAAGAAACUCCUUGCUGCUCAAGAAAAUUAAGUGCUCAGCCCCAACAUCUUUUUUCUUUGUGAAGUGAAAAGGCUUAAAAUUUCUUGGAAAUAGUUUUACAAAAAUGGAUUUAAAAAAAUCCUGUGGAUCAAGAUUAGUUCAGCUAAAAGUCAUACCACCCUCAGGAAUCAGCUAAGUAAUUAUUACUUGAUUCUUUUAGCAAAUCAAUACACAUUAUCCUACUUAAUCCUUAAAUAAGUUUAGAUUUAACUAACCCAAAGUCCAGGAGGAUGUUCUUACAAAAUAUCUAUCAAGGGCUGGCACCUAGACAUUAAACUGUACUUUGAAAAUAA
Molecule: small RNA, 750 nt
Filed under: Pongo abelii (Sumatran orangutan)
Lineage: Eukaryota; Metazoa; Chordata; Mammalia; Primates; Hominidae
Description: retained intron
Source: RNAcentral